RNAcentral lists this microRNA (18 nucleotides) under Sus scrofa (pig). RNAcentral describes it as "ssc-mir251". Lineage: Eukaryota; Metazoa; Chordata; Mammalia; Artiodactyla; Suidae. The record is from RNAcentral.
CCGGCGGCCGAGGUGGGA